RNAcentral lists this ribosomal RNA (301 nucleotides) under uncultured bacterium. RNAcentral's name for it is "partial 16S ribosomal RNA". It matches the Rfam family "Bacterial small subunit ribosomal RNA", at positions 509 to 807 of the family's 1533-position model. The record is from RNAcentral.
CAGUCGCCGCGGUAAUACGGAGGGUGCAAGCGUUAAUCGGAAUUACUGGGCGUAAAGCGCGCGUAGGUGGUUUGUUAAGUUGGAUGUGAAAGCCCCGGGCUCAACCUGGGAACUGCAUCCAAAACUGGCAAGCUAGAGUACGGUAGAGGGUGGUGGAAUUUCCUGUGUAGCGGUGAAAUGCGUAGAUAUAGGAAGGAACACCAGUGGCGAAGGCGACCACCUGGACUGAUACUGACACUGAGGUGCGAAAGCGUGGGGAGCAAACAGGAUUAGAUACCCCCGUAGUCCCUGUCUCUUAUAC